CCAGAUGGAAGUGAUGUUUGGCAUGUGAAUUUUGGGGACCCACAACUGUUAGGAGGACAGAAGCUUCAGUGGUCAUAGCCACAGGAAGGAAGCGGGGCUGCAAGGGGACCUCUCCCAGCUCACCCCACGAGUUAGAGAGGGAGCUGAGCCUAGAAAGUCCAGGGCUUCUAACCACCAUCCUACUUCUCCUGGUGCCUGCUUAGUGGGAAGGCAGGUUGGAAUGUAGGGUGGAUGAAUAAGCAGCCCCUCCUUCAGGGUGUGUAUUUCUUUGCUGCUACGUUCGUAUUUGGAAGAAGCAUGUUCUCUAAGAUGCCACCCUGAGUACUUAACAAGCAUUUUUACCUUCGGUUGCUGUUGAGUGUCACUCAGAGCCCUGACCUUGAACGUAGCUACUGUCCUCAGAGUCAGGACCUGUGUGUUCUACCCCACCUCCCCCUGCCCCCGUUCCUCUAAACUCCAGCAGCUUCUGGUACAAUGUCAGGGAAUAGCACAGGUCGAAGGCGCUUCUUGAAUGGCCUUUUAAACAAUCCCAUGUGACCAUAAGGAUAUCAUGUAUAUCAUUAUCAUUUCGUUCUAUCCAAAAUGACUUAAAAUGGACAUUCUCAUGUUAAGCGAACAGUUUGUUAUGGGCUGAAUAGUCCUAGACUUAAAAUUCAGGGGGCCCACCUAUUAGUGAUUAGUAAUGCUCAUAAUAAUGGGACUAUCAAUCUGAUGAAGCAGAAUAAAAAAAGAGUGCAAGUAAGAAUAUCACACUAUGCACCUCCUGGGGAGCACCUGCUGUGUGCUUUACUCCUUUUAAUACCUCAUACUCUUUGUUACCUCCGUGCAAGAUAAUGUAUGAUUCUUCCCAUUAUAACAUAAUGUCGUGUUACCACUUUUACAGGGGAAAAAGACAAAACAUCGUGAAAGUAUUUUCCACUCGGUUCCCCACUUGCCCUCUAGAUGGCACCUUGAUACCUCCUUUCCCCACACUUUAAACCAUAGCGUCUGGACAGAAUGCACUUAAUUUAUAAUAUAUGUAAACAAAUUCUAUGUGUAUAUAAUAUCUGGAAACAUUAAAUCAAAUCAGCCAUUUCAAUUCAAAUUCACUUGACUUUGCAAAUAUAAUCGUUGUAAAUAUUUAGUCCCCAGGCAGUAGCUUCUCCUUUAAACCACAUGCUCCGGAGUUCCCCAGCUCUAGGGACUUCACUUUCCCUUAGUGACUGACUAUGGGAGGCCCCAGCAGUGGGUGACCCUGGGUCCUGGUUACCAAGGUGUGCUCCCUAAGACCUGCAGGACCACAGAGGCAGAGCUUACCUGUCUUCCACCAGCCAACCCCGUUGUCACUUGCCAUCUGGCUGAGUUGCAUGGCUCAGCCAUCUCGCUAUGGUUUCCUUUAAGCUGUGGAAGCCCUUCCCACCUUUUUCCCCAUCUAGGCACUCCUGCUUCUCCUCCACGCCUAUGUUUCUCCCUGUAUGAACAGACGCCCUCCUCUCUUGAGUGUCGCAAAGAUCACGUUGCAAUAUUUAAAACAAGCAGAGAGCAAAAACUUUUGAAUUCUGAAAGCUUGAUGAUAGAAAAAAUAGACCUCCCCUCAAAACACACACACACACAUCCUACAUCUGGAAGUGGAUAAACAUACAAUUAGUCCAAGAUCCCAUGAGUCAAGUUCCUCCAGGGGAGGGGGGGUCGCUCCUAUGGGCUGUGUGUUUGCUUGGCCCCACAGCUCACAGACACUAGUGGGCUUGGGGCUGAAGCUUAGGCUAUUUAGUGACUUUGGCAAAGAAAUCCUCUUGGGGUAGAAUAUCCAUCAGAAUAGAGGUUUGUCCACUACAUGUGAACAGAGAGAAAUCCUCAGGUAUGAAUAUUCCAUGACUCGUGGAUGGUGUUUAAUAAGUUGGCCAGCCGGCUAGGGACUUGGAAAAAAUAUAAAAACUAGUGGGAAGGAAGUUCAGGGAAGUGGGAAGUGGGCAUAAGUCGGAAAGGGCACACUGUGAAAUCAUCAGCGUUUCCAUGUAUGCCCACCAGAGGGUGCAGUCAUUCUGUAAACAGAAGGCUAAUUCUCGACUAUAAUAGACGAUAACAGAAUCUAUAGUGGAGAAGUUUCUUGACGUUUUAAAAUAUCAUUCCCUUCUCAGUCCUACCUUAGCCUGUCUUCAAUUUGUAGGCCUCAAGAUAUCAAAAAUUACUGCGUCCCGUCUUAGCUUGUGCAUCCUGUAACAAAAUUGCAACCCUUACCAGCCAGAGAUAGCUGAGUUCUCCAAGUUCUCUAACUUGUCCGAGUUCCUGCUGUGCACAGUCCCUGAAAAGUUUCAGGACCCCCACGAAGCUCUUUAGAAACUUCUGCCCCCCCCCCCCCCAGCUAUGCCUGGACAUUGCAGGAAUGGGCUGAAAGCGCCUCUGCCUGUUGACCGUUACACCAUCCAACUAAAAUCACCAUCUGUGGAAGAAAAAUAAUAGAUCCCUUCAGAAAGUGAGGCUGGAAGACGGCGCCUUGGGAGGAGAGGCCCGUUGGGCAGAUAUUUAUUUGAGAGGUCCCAUUAGAGGGAACUGAGGCCUUCUAAAGUCAGAUUUUAAUCAAACAUAAGCCUUUAAGUUGUUUAUCUAAGGAAGAAAUUAUAUUCUCUGUUAGAAAACCGAGCAAAUUUUACAUGCAAUUAUUAUUUCAGAGUGAAUUUCUGCUCUAGAGGUCCCUCCUAAGGUUACCCCCAAGCAAUAAUCGCUAAAAAGCAGAGGACUCAAAGUUGUAACUACCAAAAUACCCAAAAGACUCCUAGAGACUAACAAAAUGCACUGUUGCCAAUUAUCCAGUUCAUACAAGAAUAAUCAUUACAAUUGAUUUUGAGGCCUGUAACUGUCAUAUUUUAUUACUGAGACUAGGAGAUGGGAAAGAAACUUUUAAAACACAAUUGUUAAUUAUAUAAAUGAGACAUGUUGAAUGAUGCUUCAUUAGGAGAACUUAUUAAAGUGCCAUUAUAUUUCAGAUAUUUUAAUUUUUUCUUUAAAAAGUCAUGGGUGAAUCCAAAUAUAACUAAUUCAUAAAUUUUUAAAUAAUGUCAGCUUCAAAAAAAAUUGGGGGUUGAUGUACAUCUAAAACUAUGGUUAUCUUGCUGUCAAUGGAUCAAAUUAUAUAAAAGGAUUUUAAAAUAUUUUAUGUGUUUAAAUGCUGAAAAGCUUUCUGUUCCUAUCUAAUGGAAACUUUGGGCCUAUGUUCAUGUUCAAAUGAUCAAGCAUAACCGUUUAAACAGUCUUUUAAAUAUUUAGGAAUUUCAAUGGUAUUUUCUGAGUGUAAAUACAAGAUAUGCUGCUUGAAGAAACUUGUAAAAUACAUCAAAAUGCAGAGAUAUACUAAGAAUCACCUCCAAGAUUCCUAUGCACAGCCCACAUUCUGACAAUUUUUUCCUGUCAUCUUUAUAUUUUCAGAACCCAAACAUAGCUUAAAAGGGAGUAAUGUCAUAUUUUAAAAAUGGAUGGAAAAAAAUCCAACAUGAAACGCAAGCACAAAGAAUCCAGAUUUUGGAGUUCCCAUCAUGGCGUGGCAGAAAUGAAUCUGACUAGGAACCGUGAGGUUGUGGGUUUGAUCCCUGGCCUCUGCUCAGUGGGUUAAGGAUCUGGCAUUGCCUGGAGCUGUGGUGUAGGUCGGAGAUGCAGCUCAGAUCCCCGCUGCUGUGGUUGUGGUACAGGCCAACGGCUACAGCUCAGAUU
RNAcentral lists this long non-coding RNA (3684 nucleotides) under Sus scrofa (pig). RNAcentral describes it as "lncRNA (ENSSSCG00000060406.1)". The record is from RNAcentral. Lineage: Eukaryota; Metazoa; Chordata; Mammalia; Artiodactyla; Suidae.